AGUGAACGCUGGCGGUAGGCCUAACACAUGCAAGUCGAACGGCAGCACAGUAAGAGCUUGCUCUUACGGGUGGCGAGUGGCGGACGGGUGAGGAAUACAUCGGAAUCUACUUUUUCGUGGGGGAUAACGUAGGGAAACUUACGCUAAUACCGCAUACGACCUACGGGUGAAAGCAGUGGAUCUUCGGACCUUGCGCGAUUGAAUGAGCCGAUGUCGGAUUAGCUAGUUGGCGGGGUAAAGGCCCACCAAGGCGACGAUCCGUAGCCGGUCUGAGAGGAUGAUCAGCCACACUGGAACUGAGACACGGUCCAGACUCCUACGGGAGGCAGCAGUGGGGAAUAUUGGACAAUGGGCGCAGGCCUGAUCCAGCCAUACCGCGUGGGUGAAGAAGGCCUUCGGGUUGUAAAGCCCUUUUGUUGGGAAAGAAAAGCAGCAGGUUAAUACCCCGCUGUUCUGACGGUACCCAAAGAAUAAGCACCGGCUAACUUCGUG
This 492-nucleotide ribosomal RNA is filed under the name uncultured bacterium. RNAcentral describes it as "partial 16S ribosomal RNA". It matches the Rfam family "Bacterial small subunit ribosomal RNA", at positions 29 to 507 of the family's 1533-position model. The record is from RNAcentral.